This 435-nucleotide ribosomal RNA is filed under the name uncultured bacterium. RNAcentral's name for it is "bacterial SSU rRNA". It matches the Rfam family "Bacterial small subunit ribosomal RNA", at positions 29 to 507 of the family's 1533-position model. The record is from RNAcentral.
AACGAACGCUGGCGGCAGGCUUAACACAUGCAAGUCGAACGGACGUAGCAAUACGUUAGUGGCAGACGGGUGAGUAACGCGUGGGAAUGUGCCCUAUGGUUUGGAAUAACUCAGGGAAACUUGAGCUAAUACCGGAUAAGCCCGAGAGGGGAAAGAUUUAUCGCCAUUGGAGCAGCCCGCGUCUGAUUAGCUAGUUGGUGAGGUAAUGGCUCACCAAGGCGACGAUCAGUAGCUGGUCUGAGAGGAUGAUCAGCCACACUGGGACUGAGACACGGCCCAGACUCCUACGGGAGGCAGCAGUGGGGAAUAUUGGACAAUAGGGGAAACCCUGAUCCAGCCAUGCCGCGUGAGUGAUGAAGGCCUUAGGGUUGUAAAGCUCUUUUGUCCGGGAAGAUAAUGACUGUACCGGAAGAAUAAGCCCCGGCUAACUUCGUG